This 1554-nucleotide unclassified non-coding RNA is filed under the name Hevea brasiliensis (rubber tree). The record is from RNAcentral. Lineage: Eukaryota; Viridiplantae; Streptophyta; Magnoliopsida; Malpighiales; Euphorbiaceae.
UCAAAAUGAAAGCUUUUCUCAUGGAAUAUGAUUUAUAGGAGGCGACUGAGAAUGGCUAUGAGCCAACAUCACUUCCAGACAAACCAACUGUUGCUGAAAUGACGAAGCAUAGCCAAUCAACAAAAGAAUUCAAAGUACUCUCAUUUCUUCAUUCAGCAGUAGAUGAUUCAAUAUUUUCAAGGAUUAUGGAAGCAAUAACAGCAAAAUUAGCAUGGGUUAUUCUUCAGGAGUCCCAAGGUUCAAAAAAAAGUAAGGGUUGCUGAGUUGUUAAAUUUGAGAAGUUUGAGUUGUUAAAGAUGAAUGAAGAAGAUACUAUCAAAGAUUAUAUUUCAAAGCUAGUUAAGGCUGUUAAUCAAAUGAAAUUUAUGGAGAUGAUAAUUCAAAUCGAAAGAUUGUGAACAAGGUGUGGGUAAGUAUGAUUGAAAAUUACCAGUCAAGAAUAACAGAAAUUAAGGGAUCAAAAGAUCUCAGCAAGCUAUCUGUCAAUGAACUCAUUGGAUCUCUACAAGCUUAAGAGCAGAGAUUCAAUCUCAAAUCUGAAAAAUCAGCUGAAGGUGCGUUUCAAGCAAGAGUCACAGGGUCUGAUUGAUCCCAUUCUGAACCCUACGCCCAUCAACCAACAAAGCAAAGUACAAGUUCAAAAACUUGUCCUCUAAAGGAAGUAAGUUCCAGUUAAGGAAGUAACCUCCAUGUGGCAUUUGUAAGAAAACCAGCCAUGAAGAAAAAUAUUUCCGGCAAGAGGGGAACCCACAAUGCUUAAAAUGUAAAAGGUUUGGGCAUGUGGAAAAGCUUGUAGAUUCAAAGAAGAAAGCACAUCAAACACAUCAAAUGUAGCACAGGAAACAAAAGAAGAAUUUAUGUUCCAAGGAACAAGAAAUUUGCUGGUGAGAAGUGCGCCAAAAAAAAAAGCAACAAAAAAUGGUGAGACAAUGGAAUAUGAGAAAAAUGGUAAGAAAAUUCACCAGAAAAUAAAUCAAGAAUGUUAGAGAGAUGUGCUCCAUGAAAGAGUUGGAGAGGUGUGCUCCACCAACAACAAGACAAAUUAGAAAAAUUGGAGAGAUGAUGCUCGAAGAUAACUUAAUUUGGAUUCAGAAAAAUUAUCAAGGAGUGUUGGAGAAUAUGAUACUCUGCUUCAUACUCCAAAUAUCAAUAAGUAUCAAGAAUUUAGUUUAUGUGUUUGGUUUGAAUUAAAAUCCUAAAAUGUAGCUGAAAAUGUAGAUUUGAUUUCGGUAAACAUGUAAGGCUAGUCUUCAAAGUCAGGUGCUCCAUUCCUAUCUUAGUAGACUAGGUAGAAUUCAUGUCACAUUUUGCUCUAUAAAUAAGCUUGCACUGCAGAAAGCAGAGUAUGGAAGAAAAGCAAGAAAUCAAUCUAAGCACAAGUAGAAAUCUCUCAUUUUUCUCAGUUUUUCUUCCUUCAAACCCAACAAAUGGUAUCAGAACUCUCUUGAUCUCAAGGGACCAAGAAAGAGUGUAUUCAACAACUGAAGAAACAUGGAUGCAAUGCUGCACUGCGAGAACCAGCAGUAUUCAGAGAGAGGUACAACUUCUGGUAUA